AGUGAACGCUGGCGGUAGGCUUAACACAUGCAAGUCGAACGGCAGCACAGUAAUAGCUUGCUCUUACGGGUGGCGAGGGGCGGGUGGGGGGGGAAGACAUCGGAACCUACUUUUGCGCGGGGGAUGACGAAGGGAGACAUACGCUAAUACCGCAUACGACCUACGGGUGAAAGCAAGGAAUCUUCUAAGCGCUCUCGAUGGGAUUAGCCGCCGUCGGGUUAGCUAGUGGGUGGGGUACAGGCCCACGAAGGCGACGUUCCGUGGCUGGUCUGAGAGGAUGGUCAGCCACACUGGGACUGAGACACGGUACAGACUCCUACGGGCGGGAGCAGUGGGGAAUAUUGGACAAUGGGCGCAAGACUGAUGCAGACAUACCGCGUGGGUGAAGAAGGCCUUCGGGUUGUAAAGCCAUUUUGUUGGGAAAGAAAAGCAGCAGGUUAAUACCCCGCUGUUAUGACGGUACCAAAAGAAUAAGCACCGGCUAACUUCGUG
RNAcentral lists this ribosomal RNA (492 nucleotides) under uncultured bacterium. RNAcentral's name for it is "partial 16S ribosomal RNA". It matches the Rfam family "Bacterial small subunit ribosomal RNA", at positions 29 to 507 of the family's 1533-position model. The record is from RNAcentral.